Molecule: ribosomal RNA, 1853 nt
Filed under: Trichinella papuae
Lineage: Eukaryota; Metazoa; Nematoda; Enoplea; Trichinellida; Trichinellidae
Description: eukaryotic LSU rRNA
Rfam family: Eukaryotic large subunit ribosomal RNA (bases 439-1853)
Source: RNAcentral
CAACAGAGCAGGGCAGCAUGAAAGCCCCGCCAGCACCCAUAUAACUCUUCUUAUAGACUGGUAAAUCGCGGAAACCAGCCCGGCCAUAGCACAGAAGAAGAUGACCUAGCGCUUGGAAGAAAGAAGAACGAAGAGUGAGAAGACCCACCCGCCCCCAGCACAGAAGAAGAUGAUCUAGCGCUUGGAAGAAAGAAGACCAGCCCGGCUCCGGCACAGAAGAAGAUGAUCUAGCGCUCGGAAGAUAGAAGACCAGCCCGGCUCCGGCACAGAAGAAGAACCAGCCCGGCUCCGGCACAGAAGAAGACGAUCUAGCGCUUGGAAGAAAGAAGAAAGAAGAGUGAGAAGACCCGCCCGCCCCCCGCACAGAAGAUGAUGACCCAGCGUUUGGAAGAAAGAAGACCAGCCCGGCCUCGGCCUAGAAGAAGAUGACCUAGCGCUUGGAAGACCGAAAUACAGAAAACAGAAGAAAGAAGCGCCCCCCCCGAAGACGCCCCUACUUGUUGUCCAGUCCCAUGGUCGUCGCCAGCCCCCCCUUUCGUAUUGUUACUUAUUUAUUGCUGUUGCUGUUGUUAUUGCUAUUACUGUCAUGUAAUGCCCUCGCUGAGCCCGCCCCCACUCUCCCCCUCCGGUACCCGCGACUAGCCAUGCUCUGACUCUUGGCGGGACGCUAGGUAGCGAUGGGAUGCAGGGGAAUCUCAAGUGAAGCUCAUACUUGAAUUAGAUUGACGCAGUAAGCGUUCUUCUUCGGGAGAGCCUUACAAACAGUCCAAAUAGCCAAAUGCCUCGUCAUCUAAUUAGUGACGCGUAUGAAUGGAUCAACAAGAUUCCUUCUGUCCCUAUCUACUAUCUAGCGAAACCACAGCCAAGGGAACGGGCUUGGCAAAAUCAGCGGGGAAAGAAGACCCUGUUGAGCUUGACUCUAGUCUGACUCUGUGAAGAGACAUGAAAGGUGUAGCAUAGGUGGGAGGCUGCAGUAGGGCGCUGUUCGGUGUCUCUGUGGUCGCCAAUGAAAUACCACUACUUUGAUCGUUUCUUUACUUAUUCGGUAAAGCGAAAAAAUUGUGGCCAAUUUGGCGGUCUGUCCGCUGUUGGUCAUUGUUUUAAUGUUGGAUUGAAGCUUUGUUUAUAGCCGUCGCUUUGUGUCGCCGUUUGACGCAUUGGCUGGGUGCGUAUUUGUGCGCGCGCGGUAAUGUUGUCAGCGGAUGAUCGGCGAUUGGUUUGAAGUGAUUCGCUCCGGAAACAGUGUCAGACGGGGAGUUUGACUGGGGCGGUACAUCUGUUAAACGAUAACGCAGGUGUCCUAAGGUAAGCUCAGCGAGGACAGAAACCUCGCCUAGAGUAAACGGGCACAAGCUUACUUGAUUUUGAUUUCCAGUACGAAUAAAAACCGCGAAAGCGUGGCCUAUCGAUCCUUUUGAUUGUGUAGAUUUCACGCAAGAGGUGUCAGAAAAGUUACCACAGGGAUAACUGGCUUGUGGCAGCCAAGCGUCCAUAGCGACGUUGCUUUUUGAUCCUUCGAUGUCGGCUCUUCCUAUCAUUGCGAAGCAGAAUUCGCCAAGCGUUGGAUUGUUCACCCACCAAUAGGGAACGUGAGCUGGGUUUAGACCGUCGUGAGACAGGUUAGUUUUACCCUACUGAUGACAAGUCGUUGCGAUAGUAAUCCUGCUCAGUACGAGAGGAACCGCGGGAUCAGACAUUUGGUUCAUGCGCUCGGCUGAAAGGCCGGUGGCGCGAAGCUAGCAUCUGCAAGAUUAUGACUGAACGCCUCUAAGUCAGAAUCUUUUCUAGUCAUUGGCAACGAUAAGUUGCGUCCGGACUCGAUGCGAGGAAACGAUUAGGCUUUGCUGUGUUUU